CACCAAUAUCAUUUAUUCAAUUCAGUUUUCCAUGUACUUUUAAUAUUUGCAAAAAAUAUUCAAAACCCAAAACUUCAAAUCACUCCACUCUGUGACCGCGUCUUUCAUUAACUACGGCAAGGAGUGGUUCUCGCUGGAAUACUCUUCAGGCUUCUUUCUUCUUCAUACCUCAAUCUUACUCUCAAUCUUUGAUCUUUUUUUCAACCUUUUGUUACUCACUAUGUUCAAAUCGGAACCCCAAUUCUCCUCCAGAUUUAGAAUUACAAAGCUGGAUUCUUUGACGCUCUUUUUCUAGGUUGUUAUUGUACCGUUUUGCACAACUUUUCUCCAUUUUUUAUUCUGGGUGCUCAUGGGGUUAUUGGAAUUGGAUUUAUUUGAUGGCGUUUUGUGAUUAUAUAGGGAACUGCAUAAAAGUGUGUAGGAGGUGGUUUCAGCACCGAGACCGGCUAACUUCUACAAAAUAUUGGAUUCUAUUCCUGGUCUAAUUGAAUUUUAUUCAUUCCUGGUCUAAUAGAAUUUUAUUCAAUCUUUGUUUUAUUAUCGUAAAUUUGUGAAUAAUUUGUAUCUCUGAUUUGCUUGAUUACUGAAAUAAAUCUGCAGGCAAGAGAUAGCUCUAUUGGAUAAUGAAAUAUCCUUCAACGAGGCCAUGAUUGAAGAAAGAGAUCAGGGUCUUAGAGAGAUAGAAUAGCAAAUUGGAGAAGCAAAUGAAAUAUUCAAGGAUCUUGCCGUUUUGGUUCAUGAUCAAGGGAUUGUUAUUGAUACUUCUGCUGGUGCAACAGCUCAAGGUAAUGUCCAGCUAGCCAAAGCUUCCAAAAGUGUGAAACCCAAAAAUAAAUGGACUUACAGUGUGAAGUGUGUUUGUUUAGACCAAAAGAAAUGUGUUUAAAGAGAGUAUUGCGACAUUUUCAAGUCCAGUAGCCAACAAUUUGGUGUGUUAAGUGAGCAUUAGGAAGUGGAAGUUGAAAUAAAUGACUUUAUGUGAAUCAAUUUUAGGAAAAAUUAUCAUGUAUUCUUAUAUAGAUUUGUAAUAUAGAUUUUAUAUAACUUUCACAUAUUUGUAUUGCUAUU
Vicia villosa (hairy vetch) is the source of this 1068-nucleotide long non-coding RNA. RefSeq lists it as uncharacterized. Lineage: Eukaryota; Viridiplantae; Streptophyta; Magnoliopsida; Fabales; Fabaceae. The record is from RefSeq and is a predicted model, not a curated record. The transcript has 6 exons.